CACGAGUAGCCCGAGUGGUGCCCACGAAUAUUGAGUCUAAAACGCAUGUAGCCGGCUUGAACAGUUCCCCGUGAAAUCUCUUGGCUCAACCAAGAGGCGCGCGGGGAAUACUAGCAGGCUAGGGAAUGGAAGAGGCCAAGGGUACUGUAAGGGGAGGAGUAAAAUCCUGUAAUCCUUGCAGGACCAUCGGUGGCGAAAGCGCUUGGCCAAGACAUGUCCGACGGUGAGAUGCGAAGGCUAGGGGAGCAAAUCG
This 253-nucleotide ribosomal RNA is filed under the name uncultured archaeon. RNAcentral's name for it is "partial 16S ribosomal RNA". It matches the Rfam family "Archaeal small subunit ribosomal RNA", at positions 474 to 726 of the family's 1478-position model. The record is from RNAcentral.